This 252-nucleotide ribosomal RNA is filed under the name uncultured bacterium. RNAcentral describes it as "partial 16S ribosomal RNA". It matches the Rfam family "Bacterial small subunit ribosomal RNA", at positions 524 to 776 of the family's 1533-position model. The record is from RNAcentral.
UACGUAGGGGGCAAGCGUUAUCCGGAAUUAUUGGGCGUAAAGAGUACGUAGGUGGCAACCUAAGCGCAGGGUUUAAGGCAAUGGCUCAACCAUUGUUCGCCCUGCGAACUGGGAUGCUUGAGUGCAGGAGAGGAAAGCGGAAUUCCUAGUGUAGCGGUGAAAUGCGUAGAUAUUAGGAGGAACACCAGUGGCGAAGGCGGCUUUCUGGACUGUAACUGACACUGAGGUACGAAAGCGUGGAGAGCAAACAGG